RNAcentral lists this ribosomal RNA (253 nucleotides) under uncultured bacterium. RNAcentral's name for it is "partial 16S ribosomal RNA". It matches the Rfam family "Bacterial small subunit ribosomal RNA", at positions 524 to 776 of the family's 1533-position model. The record is from RNAcentral.
UACGUAGGGUGCAAGCGUUGUCCGGAAUUAUUGGGCGUAAAGAGCUCGUAGGCGGUUUGUUGCGUCGGCUGUGAAAUCCCGAGGCUCAACCUCGGGUCUGCAGUCGAUACGAGCAAACUAGAGUGUUGCAGGGGAGACUGGAAUUCCAGGUGUAGCGGUGAAAUGCGUAGAUAUCUGGAGGAAUACCGGUGGCGAAGGCGGCAUCCUGGACCGACAUUGACGCUGAGGAGCGAAAGCUAGGGGAGCAAACGGG